CUGGGGUGUCCGAGUGGUUCUCGGGCUGAGAUUAUACCCAUUGAACCUGACGCAGGUCAUGCUGCCGUAGGGACGUGUUGUAA
RNAcentral lists this non-coding RNA (83 nucleotides) under uncultured Prevotella sp. RNAcentral's name for it is "TPP riboswitch (THI element)". The stretch from base 2 to 73 matches the Rfam family "TPP riboswitch aptamer (THI element)", at positions 11 to 88 of the family's 105-position model. Rfam says of the family: Vitamin B(1) in its active form thiamin pyrophosphate (TPP) is an essential coenzyme that is synthesised by coupling of pyrimidine and thiazole moieties in bacteria. The previously detected thiamin-regulatory element, thi box was extended, resulting in a new, highly conserved RNA secondary structure, the THI element, which is widely distributed in eubacteria and also occurs in some archaea. Lineage: Bacteria; Pseudomonadati; Bacteroidota; Bacteroidia; Bacteroidales; Prevotellaceae. The record is from RNAcentral.